RNAcentral lists this ribosomal RNA (809 nucleotides) under uncultured microorganism. RNAcentral's name for it is "bacterial SSU rRNA". It matches the Rfam family "Bacterial small subunit ribosomal RNA", at positions 56 to 843 of the family's 1533-position model. The record is from RNAcentral.
UGCAGUCGAACGGAACUACUUUUAGUAGCAAUACCGAGAGUAGUUUAGUGGCGAACGGGUGCGUAACACGUGGGCAAUCUGCCGAGAAGUGGGGGAUAGCUCGCCGAAAGGCGAAUUAAUACCGCAUGUGAUGAGAGGCGACAUCGUCUUGAAAUCAAAGCCGGGGCAACCUGGCGCUUUUUGAGGAGCCCGCGGCCUAUCAGCUUGUUGGUGAGGUAACGGCUCACCAAGGCUUUGACGGGUAGCUGGUCUGAGAGGACGACCAGUCACACUGGAACUGAGACACGGUCCAGACACCUACGGGUGGCAGCAGUCGAGAAUUUUUCUCAAUGGGGGAAACCCUGAAGGAGCGACGCCGCGUGGAGGAUGAAGGCUUUCGGGUUGUAAACUCCUGACAUUUGAGAACAAGGCGCACGUAUUAACUGUACGUGCGUUGAUAGUAUCAGAAGAGGAAGGGACGGCUAACUCUGUGCCAGCAGCCGCGGUAAUACAGAGGUCCCAAGCGUUGUUCGGAUUCACUGGGCGUAAAGGGCUCGUAGGUGGCCAACUAAGUCAGACGUGAAAUCCCUCGGCUUAACCGGGGAACUGCGUCUGAUACUGGAUGGCUUGAGUUUGGGAGAGGGAUGCGGAAUUCCAGGUGUAGCGGUGAAAUGCGUAGAUAUCUGGAGGAACACCGGUGGCGAAGGCGGCAUCCUGGACCAACACUGACACUGAGGAGCGAAAGCCAGGGGAGCAAACGGGAUUAGAUACCCCGGUAGUCCUGGCCCUAAACGAUGAAUGCUUGGUGUGGCGGGUAUCGAUCCCUGCCG